UCGUAACAGGUUUCCGUAGGUGAACCUGCGG
Molecule: ribosomal RNA, 31 nt
Filed under: Eriocheir sinensis (Chinese mitten crab)
Lineage: Eukaryota; Metazoa; Arthropoda; Malacostraca; Decapoda; Varunidae
Description: partial 18S ribosomal RNA
Source: RNAcentral